Molecule: unclassified non-coding RNA, 23 nt
Filed under: Mus musculus (house mouse)
Lineage: Eukaryota; Metazoa; Chordata; Mammalia; Rodentia; Muridae
Description: oocyte_clustered_small_RNA11641
Source: RNAcentral
GGAAAAACGACAUGGAAGCUGGC